GCCACAUGAUGAUACAAUGAACUGAUUUUUUAAAAUGUCUACAAGACAUUUGAAACCAGAGUAGAAUGGUUUGGAAUCUUAGAGGCUGUACCUAAAUUGUGGUCCUCCUCUGUAAAGGCAAACCUAGAUAAACGUAUUCUGUGCUUUUUCUCUUCUGGAGUGGAUGCCUUAAAGACAGACAUUCAUUAACGAAGUCAGAUAUAUUCUCAACAAAAAAAUCACCGUUAAUAGUGAUGACUUGGUUCUUUAGUAAUCUGAUGGCA
Molecule: small nucleolar RNA, 263 nt
Organism: Actinia tenebrosa (Australian red waratah sea anemone)
Lineage: Eukaryota; Metazoa; Cnidaria; Anthozoa; Actiniaria; Actiniidae
Source: RefSeq, a predicted model, not a curated record